Molecule: ribosomal RNA, 468 nt
Filed under: uncultured bacterium
Lineage: Bacteria
Description: partial 16S ribosomal RNA
Rfam family: Bacterial small subunit ribosomal RNA
Source: RNAcentral
GACGAACGCUGGCGGCGUGCUUAACACAUGCAAGUCGAACGGAAAGGCCCUGCUUUUGUGGGGUGCUCGAGUGGCGAACGGGUGAGUAACACGUGAGUAACCUGCCCUUGACUUUGGGAUAACUUCAGGAAACUGGGGCUAAUACCGGAUAGGAGCUCCUGCUGCAUGGUGGGGGUUGGAAAGUUUCGGCGGUUGGGGAUGGACUCGCGGCUUAUCAGCUUGUUGGUGGGGUAGUGGCUUACCAAGGCUUUGACGGGUAGCCGGCCUGAGAGGGUGAACGGGCACAUGGGGACUGAGAGACGGCCCAGACUCCUACGGGAGGCAGCAGUGGGGAAUAUUGCACAAUGGGCGGAAGCCUGAUGCAGCAACGCCGCGUGCGGGAUGACGGCCUUCGGGUUGUAAACCGCUUUCGCCUGUGACGAAGCGUGAGUGACGGUAAUGGGUAAAGAAGCACCGGCUAACUACGUG